UGGGGAAUAUUGCGCAAUGGGCGAAAGCCGGACGCAGCGACGCCGCGUGAGGGAUGAAGGUUUUCGGAUCGUAAACCUCUGUCAGAAGGGAAGAAACCGCACUGUGCUAAUCAGCAGUGCCUUGACGGUACCUUCAAAGGAAGCACCGGCUAACUCCGUGCCAGCAGCCGCGGUAAUACGGAGGGUGCAAGCGUUAAUCGGAAUUACUGGGCGUAAAGCGCACGUAGGCUGCUUUGUAAGUCAGGGGUGAAAUCCCACGGCUCAACCGUGGAACUGCCUUUGAUACUGCUUAGCUUGAAUCCGGGAGAGGGUGGCGGAAAUCCAGGUGUAGGAGUGAAAUCCGUAGAUAUCUGGAGGAACAUCAGUGGCGAAGGCGGCCACCUGGACCGGUAUUGACGCUGAGGUGCGAAAGCGUGGGGAGCAAACAGG
This 429-nucleotide ribosomal RNA is filed under the name Fusobacteriota bacterium. RNAcentral describes it as "Fusobacteria bacterium partial 16S ribosomal RNA". It matches the Rfam family "Bacterial small subunit ribosomal RNA", at positions 355 to 776 of the family's 1533-position model. Lineage: Bacteria; Fusobacteriati; Fusobacteriota. The record is from RNAcentral.